This is a long non-coding RNA of Actinia tenebrosa (Australian red waratah sea anemone), 394 nucleotides long. The record is from RefSeq and is a predicted model, not a curated record. Lineage: Eukaryota; Metazoa; Cnidaria; Anthozoa; Actiniaria; Actiniidae.
AGGGUUGAAAUUGUCAGAUGAAGUGACAGACAGAAUAGUGCAGACAGAUCGACAGAGACUGAAAAUCACGUUAUGAUAAAGGUUGACAAGGGAACAGGACAGAGAGAGUACAGUUACUCCUCUAAACCAAACUGAAAAUAUCGCCAGUACCAACUACUGCAGACCAUACACUUCUGAUCCAUGUUUGCAAAAUUCCAAGCGUCAAUACGGAUAACAAACGAAGGCAUUCUAACAUCCUGCGAUCCUUUGCUUGAAGCUUUGCAAUUACAGUUUUGAUUCAAUAUAUUACUAUAUUACUAUAUAUUAUAUAUUACUAUAACUAUAUUAUGUACUGAUUAUUUUCGAGGCUUAUCAAGAAAAGACCUAGUAUUAAAAACAGGAAACUAUUUGAAAA